This 468-nucleotide ribosomal RNA is filed under the name uncultured bacterium. Its description in RNAcentral is "partial 16S ribosomal RNA". It matches the Rfam family "Bacterial small subunit ribosomal RNA", at positions 28 to 507 of the family's 1533-position model. The record is from RNAcentral.
GACGAACGCUGGCGGCGUGCUUAACACAUGCAAGUCGAACGGAAAGGCCCUGCUUUUGUGGGUUGCUCGAGUGGCGAACGGGUGAGUAACACGUGAGUAUCCUGCCCUUGACUUUGGGAUAACUUCAGGAAACUGGGGCUCAUACCGGAUAGGAGCUCCUGCUGCAUGGUGGGGGUUGGAAAGUUUCGGCGGUUGGGGAUGGACUCGCAGCUUAUCAGCUUGUUGGUGGGGUAGUUGCUUACCAAGGCUUUGACGGGUAGCCGGCCUGAGAGGGUGACCGGCGACAUGGGGACUAAGAUACGGCGCAGAAUCCUACGGGAGGCAGCAGUGGGAAGUAUUGCACAAUGGGCGGAAGCCUGAUGCAGCAACGCCGCGUGCGGGAUGACGGCCUUCGGGUUGUAAACCGCUUUCGCCUGUGACGAAGAGUGAGUGACGGUAAUGGGUAAAGAAGCAACGGCUAACUACGUG